This 440-nucleotide ribosomal RNA is filed under the name uncultured bacterium. Its description in RNAcentral is "partial 16S ribosomal RNA". It matches the Rfam family "Bacterial small subunit ribosomal RNA", at positions 338 to 795 of the family's 1533-position model. The record is from RNAcentral.
CCUACGGGAGGCAGCAGUGGGGGAUAUUGCACAAUGGGGGGAACCCUGAUGCAGCGACGCCGCGUGGGUGAAGAAGCGCCUCGGCGCGUAAAGCCCUGUCAGCAGGGAAGAAAAUGACGGUACCUGAAGAAGAAGCACCGGCUAACUACGUGCCAGCAGCCGCGGUAAUACGUAGGGGGCAAGCGUUAUCCGGAUUUACUGGGUGUAAAGGGGGCGCAGACGGGGAUGCAAGCCAGGAGUGAAAGCCCGGGGGCUAACCCCGGGACUGCUCUUGAUACUGGGUGGCUGGAGUGCGGGAGUGGCAGGCGGAAUUCCUGGUGUAGCGGUGAAAUGCGUAGAUAUCAGGAGGAACACCGAUGGCGAAGGCGGCCUGCUGGACUGCAACUGACGUUGAGGCCCGAAAGCGUGGGGAGCAAACAGGAUUAGAUACCCCGGUAGUC